This 474-nucleotide ribosomal RNA is filed under the name uncultured soil bacterium. RNAcentral describes it as "bacterial SSU rRNA". It matches the Rfam family "Bacterial small subunit ribosomal RNA", at positions 26 to 496 of the family's 1533-position model. The record is from RNAcentral.
AGAUUGAACGCUGGCGGCAGGCCUAACACAUGCAAGUCGAGCGGCAGCACGGGUACUUGUACCUGGUGGCGAGCGGCGGACGGGUGAGUAAUGCCUAGGAAUCUGCCUGGUAGUGGGGGAUAACGCUCGGAAACGGACGCUAAUACCGCAUACGUCCUACGGGAGAAAGCAGGGGACCUUCGGGCCUUGCGCUAUCAGAUGAGCCUAGGUCGGAUUAGCUAGUUGGUGAGGUAAUGGCUCACCAAGGCGACGAUCCGUAGCUGGUCUGAGAGGAUGAUCAGCCACACUGGAACUGAGACACGGUCCAGACUCCUACGGGAGGCAGCAGUGGGGAAUAUUGGACAAUGGGCGAAAGCCUGAUCCAGCCAUGCGCGUGUGUGAAGAAGGUCUUCGGAUUGUAAAGCACUUUAAGUUGGAGGAAGGCAGUUACCUAAUACGUAUCUGUUUGACGUUUACCGACAGAAUAAGCACCGG